CCCCCCCCCCAACUGUUUUUCAAUAUCAUUAAUAUUGAAGUCCUGUAUAAUUAUUAUAAAGUAACAUUUUGCUCUUGUCUGUAAAGCUUUCUUGAAGUAACUAAGUGAUAUAAGAAAGAACUUCACACACCAUGGAAAAAUGUUUCUCAUUGAUUUACUAAAAAUGUUCCAAAAUUGAUACAUAUGUGUGUAGUAUUUCUCUGCUUCUUCAAUUGCCAUGCAAUUUCUUUUACUAGAGUGUAUGUGAACUGGUGCAAUAGGCCACUUGGGUAUAUAGAACUAUUACAUGUUUGUACUAUGUUUAUAGAAUAAAGGUGAAUACCCAGAGAUGCAAUUUAGACACCAAUCAUCUCUGUUUGUUUAGUGAAUUGAUUCUGGUGUUGUCUGCUUCCAAGAAUAACAACGGAUAGUAUGUCAAUAGUAUUUAAAAUAGUAUUUCUUUGUUUCCUAGACUAUACUGUAAUAAAUCUGAUCAUGUUAUACAGUACUAUGACACGCAUGAUACAUGGAACUUUUUCUUUUUUCUCUUCUGAUUUUUUGUAUAUUGAGUUUGUAUAUAACGAUCGUCUGGUCAAACUUUGCAUAAACUCCAGCUGUGUCAACAGCUGCAUCUCUGUGAUGCGUAUUGUGUGCAUCAGAAGCAUUUAAAAUUCAGGUCUUGCAGGACCACAGAUCUACAGAGAUUUGUGUCACAAAUUUAGCCCAUGAAGCCUUUGGUAAUUAGCUAAUGUGUUGACUCAGGUGUGGUAAAUGUGCUAAAUGAGGUAGAACUCUGCAGUGCUGUGGCCCUACAGGGGAGACACCCCUGGAGUGGGUUUAUUAAUGUAUUCUCCAGCCCCAACAUUUCUUUAGUACAGCAGACAAAUCUUUCUAGCUUUCUGGAAUUGUUUCAUUUUAUGAACCCCCUUCAUAAGAGUGAACACAAAUGUAUUUUAUUUUAGUCCCAGUCCUUUUUCCACGUUAGAGAGUAAAACUUUUAUUUAGAUUUUAUGAGUGUGGAAUUUGUUCCCUGAUAUCUCAUGUGCUUUACUUAACUGAGAAGAUUCUGUCUACUGCAGGCAUGUACAUGUUUACUCCAGUGAUUGCAAUGCAGGUGAGGAUCACUAUUGUAUAUGCUGUCGUAAUCCAGUCCAAAACAGCACACUCCCUUAAGGCAAAAUAAACACUCCCACUUCACCUUAGCUUUUUGAAGAUAGACCUAUCUGGUACCCUCUGUAUCCGCUGACUCACUGCCUACAUGCCUUCAGGCUUGUAAUGGAUCACCAACAACUGGGAAAAAAUCAGGAUAUCUCUCAGACACUUAAUGUCUUCAUACCAGGCACAAACAUUUCUUUCUUUCAACAACUUUCACAUUUCCACUUUUGUUUAUGUACUAACUAGACCUAAGGUCAAUGUUGUGUUUUCAUUGUUUUAUGUCUGUCCCUAAUGAAUCUCACUGUUGGAAAGCAUACAGUAUUUUCUAAAACCAAAAUAUUAAUGCCACAUAAGCCUGUAGUCUGUAUACAGUCAUUUCAUUAGAUGAGAUAAUGAUUUGUGCUGAAAGAUUGUUUUCUGCUAUUUUUUUGGCUUACUGAAAUUUUGUUUAUUGGCUAUUUUCUCAGAAUGACCAGUUUUUCUGCUUGACCACAUGAUUUCACACAUUACUCUUAUUCAGGUUGUACCUUUGAUACUGAAUUGUUACAUUUGAGCUUAGGUCUUCAAUAAAGAUACCAAUAUGAAUGAUGGUGGGUCAUAUGUGGGUCUUUUUGUGUCAGUUCUUCAGUUUUGACACUGCAUGGACGCGUACCCUUUAUUUAGUUUCAUUUCCCAUGACUUGUCCUGUACCACUGCGUGUGUGUGCGUGUUUUUUGUGUUUUGGUGAUUAUUUGAAGUCAAUCUGACCGUCCCCCACCCCCUAAAACCACAUUGCAAUGGUUUCAUCCAGCCCUGUGAUGUGGAACGGAGGUUCAACUGUGGAAAACAUGGAAGACGUCUUUCCUCUUCAGUAGGCUAUAAAGAGCAGAUAUUAACCUUGCAACCUCUAAGCCACUGUUUCUCUCCAUCUCUUUUCUUUCUCCCCCUCCAUUCCAUUGCAGUCCUCUUUUCUCUGUUUUCCCCUUUUGGAGUGGGGGGUCUGUCACACAGAUGUGUGCCCUUUGUUGCUUCACCUUUUCCAAGAAUAACAGCUUGUUCCCAGAGUGAUAAAUAAUUCCCAGAGCAGCACAUAAAACUCCUUUGACUUCGUUGAGUCUUUUGUUUCCUUUUAAUUGAAUUGAAGUUCCUUCCUAAAAGAAACUAAUUCUGCCUCAG
This is a long non-coding RNA of Ictalurus punctatus (channel catfish), 2289 nucleotides long. Lineage: Eukaryota; Metazoa; Chordata; Actinopteri; Siluriformes; Ictaluridae. The record is from Ensembl.